ACUCGUCUAGUUAGCAAUUAUACAGCGAAACUGCGAAUGGCUCAUUAUAUAAGUUAUCGUUUAUUUGAUAGUACCUUACUACUUGGAUAACCGUGGUAAUUCUAGAGCUAAUACAUGCUAAAAAUCCCGACUUCGGAAGGGAUGUAUUUAUUAGAUUAAAAACCAAUGCCCUUCGGGGCUCACUGGUGAUUCAUAAUAACUUCUCGAAUCGCAUGGCCUUGCGCCGGCGAUGGUUCAUUCAAAUUUCUUCCCUAUCAACUUUCGAUGCUAGAGUAGUGUUCUAGCAUGGUUACAACGGGUAACGGAGGGUUAGGGCUCGACCCCGGAGAAGGAGCCUGAGAAACGGCUACUACAUCCAAGGAAGGCAGCAGGCGCGCAAAUUACCCAAUCCCGACACGGGGAGGUAGUGACGAUAAAUACUGAUACAGGGCUCUUUUGGGUCUUGUAAUUGGAAUGAGUACAAUUUAAAUCCCUUAACGAGGAACAAUUGGAGGGCAAGUCUGGUGCCAGCAGCCGCGGUAAUUCCAGCUCCAAUAGCGUAUAUUAAAGUUGUUGUGGUUAAAAAGCUCGUAGUAGAACCUUGGGCCUGGCUGACCGGUCCGCCUCACCGCGUGUACUGGUCCGGCCGGGCUCCCACCAUAGUCUAACCGCAUGCCCUUCACUGGGUGUGUUGGCGAAACUAUAUUUUUACUUUGAAAAAAUUAGAGUGCUCCAGGCAGGCCUAUGCUCGAAUACAUUAGCAUGGAAUAAUAGAAUAGGACGUGUGGUUCUAUUUUGUUGGUUUCUAGGACCGCCGUAAUGAUUAAUAGGGACAGUCGGGGGCAUCAGUAUUCAAUUGUCAGAGGUGAAAUUCUUGGAUUUAUUGAAGACUAACUACUGCGAAAGCAUUUGCCAAGGAUGUUUUCAUUUAUCAGGAACGAAAGUUAGGGGAUCGAAGACGAUCAGAUACCGUCGUAGUCUUAACAUAAACUAUGCCGACAAGGGAUCGGACGAUGUAAUUUUUGACUCGUUCGGCACUUACGAAAAUCAAAGGGUUGGGGC
This 1041-nucleotide ribosomal RNA is filed under the name Colletotrichum gloeosporioides. RNAcentral describes it as "SSU rRNA". It matches the Rfam family "Eukaryotic small subunit ribosomal RNA", at positions 59 to 1112 of the family's 1831-position model. Lineage: Eukaryota; Fungi; Ascomycota; Sordariomycetes; Glomerellales; Glomerellaceae. The record is from RNAcentral.